Vulpes vulpes (red fox) is the source of this 104-nucleotide small nuclear RNA. NCBI's taxonomy places the organism in Eukaryota, Metazoa, Chordata, Mammalia, Carnivora, Canidae. The record is from Ensembl.
GUGCUCACCUGGCAAAACAUAUACUAAAAUUGAAACAUAUAGAGAAAAUUAGCAUGGCCUUGAACAAGGAUGACAUGCAAAUUCAUAAAGUGUUCCAUAUAUUU